Molecule: non-coding RNA, 45 nt
Filed under: Echinostoma caproni
Lineage: Eukaryota; Metazoa; Platyhelminthes; Trematoda; Plagiorchiida; Echinostomatidae
Source: RNAcentral
ACACUGCUGACGAGUCCCAAACAGGAUGAAACAGGCGUCCAGUGC